AUAAUGGGUCAGCGACUUAUAUUCUGUAGCAAGGUUAACCGAAUAGGGGAGCCGAAGGGAAACCGAGUCUUAACUGGGCGUUAAGUUGCAGGGUAUAGACCCGAAACCCGGUGAUCUAGCCAUGGGCAGGUUGAAGGUUGGGUAACACUAACUGGAGGACCGAACCGACUAAUGUUGAAAAAUUAGCGGAUGACUUGUGGCUGGGGGUGAAAGGCCAAUCAAACCGGGAGAUAGCUGGUUCUCCCCGAAAGCUAUUUAGGUAGCGCCUCGUGAAUUCAUCUCCGGGGGUAGAGCACUGUUUCGGCAAGGGGGUCAUCCCGACUUACCAACCCGAUGCAAACUGCGAAUACCGGAGAAUGUUAUCACGGGAGACACAC
RNAcentral lists this ribosomal RNA (377 nucleotides) under Escherichia coli. Its description in RNAcentral is "partial 23S ribosomal RNA". It matches the Rfam family "Bacterial large subunit ribosomal RNA", at positions 612 to 989 of the family's 2925-position model. Lineage: Bacteria; Pseudomonadati; Pseudomonadota; Gammaproteobacteria; Enterobacterales; Enterobacteriaceae. The record is from RNAcentral.